This is a long non-coding RNA of Acanthaster planci (crown-of-thorns starfish), 2396 nucleotides long. RefSeq lists it as uncharacterized. The record is from RefSeq and is a predicted model, not a curated record. NCBI's taxonomy places the organism in Eukaryota, Metazoa, Echinodermata, Asteroidea, Valvatida, Acanthasteridae.
AACAAUCAGUAAUUGUUUGUUGGAAUGUGGGGUUCUUGCCGACUCCGUACUGCCUUACCGUGUACAUGGUGCAUGCUGGAAGCGGCUCUCGAGUAAAAAAAAAUGGCGGUGUUGCACGAAUAUCUUCAAAAAACAUGACUGUAUUUUCUUCACAACCGACUGAAGCGGGGUCCUAAUUUACUCCUCCAACAUACGCAGAAAGUCUUGAAGAAAUGAGAUCAAGAAGAGAGUUAAGUUGUAAAAUUGAAAAGUGCAUGGCAACAGUGCAUCUGCGUGUGAAUUUUUGCAGCAACAGGGAGAAGCAAGAUGAGACGAAAUGGAGGGAUUCCCGAUAACUUCUGGGAAAAAAAGCUUCUGCUGAAGUUGCCAAUGAGCGCUUCAUGUUUUUGUGCCUGGGGAAGAUGACUGUGAACAACUGACGGUGACUCCCUCCUGGAUGUCUGGAUCUGAUGUUAACUAGUGGAACUCUCAUCUUCAAGACUGACUGAACCCUGAGGCUGGAGGCAUCUUAGGAAAGGGCAAAUCCAUGACAAUGAGAGGACACUAACAUUAAUGUGGCCAUUUUUUAAAAUCUGUACCACCAAGUUGACAAACUGAAACCGGGAGAUAGCCACCGGCCUGAUAGGCCUCAUUGGCUAAAGACAAACAUCAAUCACAACUACUGACAGUAAUCAGGAUGAAUAGCUGCACCACAACCAGUUCAAGAAAGACUAGCAGGAUAAAGAUUCCAAAUAAAACAUAUCAUUUGGUUUGUUGCAGUCACAGUAAACUUGUUGUGCAGCUGAAUAGAUGUUUUGUCCUUGCUGCAAGUGGCCAUCACCUCCUCAGCUAAAUUGUCAUGGAUUUGCAUUAGUUUAUUCAACCAGGCAUAUGUCGCUUGUGAUAGAAAAUGCAACCUAGAAAAUAUGUUAAUACCUUUGGGUAAUUUUGACUCAUAUUUAUCAUUUUUUUGUCUUUUCCCAACUCUGACAUAUAGAGAUAUCUUUAUGAAAAGUACUUACAGUUGUGAUUUAUGUUUGUAUUAAAUUUAAUCCUACUUCUAUAUUUAUUUCAGCACAUACAAAAAAGCAACUCCAACAAAUAGAGACAUUUGAGGACCAGCUGUUAAAGUCUGGCUGCAUUCCUAUAUGCGCACUUUUCCAGCAAUUUACUUCUAUAAUAGAAACUUAUAGUAAAGACAUGUGCCUGGUUGAAUUUUUGUGCCGAGAGAGGAAUCACCUUCGCUUUUUUUUUGGUUACAAUGUGUUUCAUGUUGUAAAUUGUUUUGGAAGCUGAAGAGUUUCAUUACCCUAGCACAUCAUAUUGAAAUACCAGCACCACGGCCAUUUCAUGAUAGGUCUUCUUAGCAUAAAUUGCAUCAUUUGUUGACAAGUCUGAACAGAAAAGGCACCUGACUCGCCAGUGUAGCAUUUCAAAACUGUUUUUUUACUGAAUACGGUUGGUCAAUUAAUUGCAAUGGAGAAAAUCCAGUGAUGCUUCCUUGGCAAAAUAUUGUUGACCCAAGUGUAUUGAGCCUGACAUGAAAUGGCCAUUGUGCAGUAACUAACCAACAAGAAACCAUCAGCCCAGAAACCUGAUGAUCUUUUAACUCAACUUUGAAAGGGGAAUUUCAUUCCUAAUGUCAAGUGUGAUAAACGGUCACAAAAAACGGUUCAUACCACUGUGAUGGAUGGAUUGGCAUUGUUUAGAUAGAAGUCACAUUUUUGUUCAUCGGUUGCUUUUUCAGGAUGAAGUUUUUGCGUUAGUAUCUCGCAGAUGACGUAUUUCAAUUUGGAAUCGGAUAUUUAAAUUGGAAACAUAUUUCUUAUCACAGGUUUUGAAAUUAAGGGCUGAAGGACACAGUGGUAAUAUGAUGUGCUAGUGUGGAUUCUUUGUGUUGAUGAGAUGAAUAAAUACAAACAUUUGUUCUUGUGUUGUGUGUUUGUAUUAAAAACACCUGCUGUCCAUUUUCCAGUUAUGCAGCCCCAACUUGGGAGAAUUUCAGAGUGAAAAAAAUUCCUGUGAAAUCCUACUCUUUUCCAUUUGUAAGCAUUUCCCAUGGGACCCAGUAAUUUAACUUUUUAUUCAAACUUCAACAGCAGUGAAAUGAGAGAAUUGAAGGGCAAAACUUAUGCAAAAUGGACAGCAGGUUUCUGUGUUUCUUGUGCAGCAUUUGGGAAUCAGUGAGGGCGCUGCAAUGAUGUGGGGGGGUUAUAAGGAGUAUUCUUAUUGGCACCACUGGAAGUAUUUUUCCAGAUGUAGCACUUCUUACAGCGCCCUCAUUUGCCAAGAAUAGUUUUGGGCUGUGAAAAAAUACAGUGCCCCUUUGUUUGGCCAGUCUAUUUCUAAAACUGUUGGUGCAUUCAUAAGAAAACAAUGUUUGGAAAACAUCUGUAAAAGUAUAUUUCCCUUUUUUU